RNAcentral lists this long non-coding RNA (580 nucleotides) under Arabidopsis thaliana (thale cress). Its description in RNAcentral is "long non-coding RNA (ATHA_LNC000481)". The record is from RNAcentral. Lineage: Eukaryota; Viridiplantae; Streptophyta; Magnoliopsida; Brassicales; Brassicaceae.
UUCCUUCUUAUCACUUUCCUCUUCUCUCUUCUCCUCUGAUCCCACCACACUUUUGAACUUUCACUCAAUGGCGAUGCAGCUUCCUCCGACGACACUUUACGCCGGAAGAUCCUCCGUGGUCUUACCUCCGACGACUCCAACCCUCCAGAGAUCAUCUUUCUUGCCUUAUUACUCGAUGAGGCUACUCGGAAACAAGAAGUCUCUUUCCAAAUCCUCUGCUCCUAGAUUCUCCAUGCGUGUCUCCUCUAAGCAAGCCUAUAUUUGCCGUGAUUGCGGGUCUCUUUCAAUCUUGAUCUCUCUUUCUCUCUUCUUGGUUACCUCUAACAUACAAAGUUUGUUUAUUUAUCUUCUUCUCUUUGAUUUUGCAGGUAUAUUUACAAUGAUAGAACUCCAUUUGACAAGUUACCUGAUAACUAUUUCUGUCCAGGUAUCGUGAUUCAUGUUUAAAGAAUCAACAAGUUGUAGCUAUCACUAGUUGGGACUGUGUUUGGUUUCAAAUGGGUUUAAGGUUUUGUUUUCAGUGUGUGCUGCUCCUAAACGGCGGUUUAGAGCUUACAUGCCUGAUGUGAGCAAGAAUGUC